GAUGAACGCUGGCGGCGUGCUUAACACAUGCAAGUCGAACGGAAAGGCCACAGCUUGCUGUGGUACUCGAGUGGCGAACGGGUUAGUAACACGUGGGUGAUCUGCCCUGUACUUCGGGAUAAGCUUGGGAAACUGGGUCUAAUACCGGAUAGGAAUCACAUGUGGGUGUGUGGUGGGAAAGCUUUUGCGGUAUGGGAUGAGCUCGCGGCCUAUCAGCUUGUUGGUGGGGUAAUGGCCUACCAAGGCGUCGACGGGUAGCCGGCCUGAGAGGGUGUACGGCCACAUUGGGACUGAGAUACGGCCCAGACUCCUACGGGAGGCAGCAGUGGGGAAUAUUGCACAAUGGGCGCAAGCCUGAUGCAGCGACGCCGCGUGGGGGAUGACGGCCUUCGGGUUGUAAACUCCUUUCGUCAGGGACGAAGCGAAAGUGACGGUACCUGGAUAAGAAGCACCGGCUAACUACGUG
This 466-nucleotide ribosomal RNA is filed under the name uncultured bacterium. RNAcentral's name for it is "partial 16S ribosomal RNA". It matches the Rfam family "Bacterial small subunit ribosomal RNA", at positions 28 to 507 of the family's 1533-position model. The record is from RNAcentral.